GAGGAUGUGGCUCAGUGAUUGAGUGCUUGCCUAGCAUGCAUGAGGCACUGUGUUCGAUCCCCGGCACCACA
Molecule: transfer RNA, 71 nt
Filed under: Marmota monax (woodchuck)
Lineage: Eukaryota; Metazoa; Chordata; Mammalia; Rodentia; Sciuridae
Description: tRNA.Ala
Source: RNAcentral